Molecule: ribosomal RNA, 495 nt
Filed under: uncultured bacterium
Lineage: Bacteria
Description: partial 16S ribosomal RNA
Rfam family: Bacterial small subunit ribosomal RNA
Source: RNAcentral
GACGAACGCUGGCGGCGUGCCUAAUACAUGCAAGUAGAACGCUGAAGGAGGAGCUUGCUCUUCUGGAUGAGUUGCGCACGGGUGAGUAACGCGUAGGUAACCUUCCUGGUAGCGGGGGAUAACUAUUGGAAACGAUAGCUAAUACCGCAUAAGAGUAGGUGUUGCAUGACAUUUUCUUAACAGGUGCAAUUGCAUCACUACCAGAUGGACCUGCGUUGUAUUAGCUAGUUGGUGGGGUAACGGCUCACCAAGGCGACGAUACAUAGACGACCUGAGAGGGUGAUCGGCCACACUGGGACUGAGACACGGCCCAGACUCCUACGGGAGGCAGCAGUAGGGAAUCUUCGGCAAUGGACGGAAGUCUGACCGAGCAACGCCGCGUGAGUGAAGAAGGUUUUCGGAUCGUAAAGCUCUGUUGUAAGAGAAGAACGAGUGUGAGAGUGGAAAGUUCACACUGUGACGGUAUCUUACCAGAAAGGGACGGCUAACUACGUG